This 90-nucleotide non-coding RNA is filed under the name Anaerovibrio slackiae. RNAcentral's name for it is "Glycine riboswitch". It matches the Rfam family "Glycine riboswitch aptamer", at positions 6 to 89 of the family's 94-position model. Rfam says of the family: This family represents the bacterial glycine riboswitch. The record is from RNAcentral. Lineage: Bacteria; Bacillati; Bacillota; Negativicutes; Selenomonadales; Selenomonadaceae.
AGAAAAUCGGGAGAGAACACCCAUCGCCGGAUGGUGGUGGAUAGGUCGCCGAAGGGGCUGCAGAAACUCUCAGGCAAAGGGACCGGUUUU